RNAcentral lists this ribosomal RNA (253 nucleotides) under uncultured bacterium. RNAcentral describes it as "partial 16S ribosomal RNA". It matches the Rfam family "Bacterial small subunit ribosomal RNA", at positions 524 to 776 of the family's 1533-position model. The record is from RNAcentral.
UACGGGGGGGGCAAGCGUUGUUCGGAAUUACUGGGCGUAAAGGGCGCGUAGGCGGCCUGGCAAGUGGAAGGUGAAAUCCCUCGGCUUAACCGAGGAACUGCCCUCCAAACUGCUUGGCUUGAGACCGGGAGAGGUGAGUGGAAUUCCCAGUGUAGCGGUGAAAUGCGUAGAUAUUGGGAGGAACACCUGUGGCGAAAGCGGCGCACUGGACCACAACUGACGCUGAGGCACGAAAGCGUGGGGAGCAAACAGG